Molecule: long non-coding RNA, 3258 nt
Filed under: Eucalyptus grandis
Lineage: Eukaryota; Viridiplantae; Streptophyta; Magnoliopsida; Myrtales; Myrtaceae
Description: long non-coding RNA (EGRA_LNC002059)
Source: RNAcentral
UUCCGUUAUUCAUAUAGGGGUCACCCAUUUCAUGACAUAUAGAGAAUCCGGAAUUACAGUGUGAGUAUGAAAAUGCAUUAAGAGUUAGUACUCUCACGAACCAAUCCUUGAAGAUGAAGAUGAAGAUGAAGACCAUGCCUUGUUCUACUCUCCUCUCUUCCUCCCCAUUGCUUUACUGGUAUUCUCAUAUGGACAUCUAAUCAUCAUCAACCAUUUCUUUCCAGGAACUUUCCUUGCGCUUUUGCUUACUACCAAUGCUCUUUCUGUCGAAUGUUAUCAUUCUGUGUUAAAAAAAAAAAAAAAAAUUACAGUGGUGAGGGUAGGGGAGGCACAAAAAUGUGGGCACCCCUUCAUUUGUCUCCCGGACUGCUCGAAGCUGACAUGUGUGGAAGCCUACGUCGAGAAGUAUAGGGGAUGGACUAAUGGCGGAUGCUUCGACACAAACAGCUGUUGCUGCCAUGUUAUAGGGGCUCCAUCUUGAUUUAUGUUACCAUUGCCCCAUGUGUCACGCCCCGAUCCUCGGGCACGCACACAUUCUUCUUACUUGGUCGAUUUUAUAAUGCGAUAUCCCAUGACAAUGUAUUGCCGACCCUUUCAUUUAUUAAGCACAUGCGGAAGCAGUUAAAAUCCCCAGACAAUAAAACGAUGGGAUAGAAAAGCAGGGCCAUAUUUUUCAUAUUGAAACUUAUAACCAAACUUUUAUACAAAACACAAACCAGAGCACUUCACGACUUUUUACUCUAUCUCUAUUCACAUCAAAAUGGAGAUCUUAAAAGAAGAUAGGAUCUCAAUCCAUCCAGGCCGUACUCAAGACCCCUCUCGGGACUAUCUUCUUCUUCCAAACUUCUUCUCCUCAGGUUUUACCUCCGAGUUCUCCUUCCCAGACUCCUCCUCCUCAACUCCUCAUCGGGAUCCUGAAAUGUUUUCCCCAAACUGGGAUGAGACUACGUCUCAGUGAGUUCUACCCCACUAAGCCCGAUUAGUAAACCAUUAUAUUAUAGGCUGCCUAAACACGCACAUGUCAGAAGACAUACCUUGGCAUCAGAUUCCACCUGCAUAUUAGUACAUAUCAAAUAGGCACCCAAGUAAUCACAUCACAGAUCGAAGCAUUGAUCGAAUCGACCUAGUCGAUUACAUGCCAACAAGACCACUCACGGUCAUUCCCAUCCAAUUAAUCAAUUCACAACAUCAGAUCAAAACAAUGAUCAAUGGACCUAGUCGAUUACAUGUCAGCUUGACCAUUUCCCGAUCAUUCAAGCUAUUGCUAUUCAGUCUUAAUUAAUAAAACCAAUCACCGAGCUACGUGCAUUCUUCGAUGCGAUAUUAUUUAUCACCGAGCCACGUGCUUUCACUGAGGUGAUGGAACCGAUCAUCGAGCCAUGUGCAUUCUCCGAGGUAAUGCAUUACUUUACCGAGCCCACGUGCCCUUUAAUGCCAUUUUGAAUCAGCGAGCCCACAUGCAUUCUCCGAGGCGAUGCAUCAAGUCACCGAGCCCACGUGUCUCUUCAAGAUGCCAAAUGUACUCAUUGAGACCACGUGCAUUCUCCGAGGUAAUGCAUCAAAUUACCGAGCCCACGUGUCUCUUUUAGAUGCCAAAUGUACUCAUUGAGACCACGUGCAUUUUCCGAGGUAAUGCAUCAAAUUACCGAGCCCACGUGUCUCUUUUAGGAUGCCACACUUAAUCACCGAGCCACAUGCAUUCUCCAAGGCGACAUACUUCGUCACCGAGCCAUGUGCAUUCUCCGAGGUGAUAUAUCUAAUCAUCAAGCCCCGUGCAUUCUCCAAGGCGACGUACUAAUCAUCGAGCCACGUGCAUUCUCCGAAGUGAUAUACCAAAUCACCGAGCCACGUGCAUUCUCCGAGAUGACGUACUAUUCACCGAGCCACGUGCAUUCUCCAAGAUGACGUACUAUUCACCGAGCCACGUGCCUUUCGUGAUGAUUCAUCCCAUUUCUAAAGUAAUUAUCCACAAUUAAAUCAAUUCAGCACAAAUUAAAGCUCAAUUAAAUAAACGGACUGCGCCACGAUGAUCAGCACGAGAUUUCGGUCGUCGGCCAUCUCAAACUUAAUUUCCAAAAAAAAAAAAUUAAUUAAUUAAUUUCGAAAAUUAAUUAUUAAAUAUUAAAAAUUCUGUUUAGCUCAAAAUAAGGCCCAAUUAAAUAAACGGACUUCGCCACAGUCAUCAGCAUAAUUUUCCGGUCACGGUCCAUCUCAAUUGAAUUUCCGGAAAAUAAAUAAUUAAUUAAUAAAUUUCGAGAAUUAAUAAUUAAUUAUAAUAAAUCCAAUUUAGCUCAAAUUGGUGCUCAGUUAAAUAAACAGACUUCACCACAGUCAUCAGCAUAAAAUUCCGGUUCCAGACCAUCUCAGUUAAAUUUUUGAAAAAUAAAUAAUUAUUUAAUUUAAUUCCGAAAAUUAAUAUUUAAAUACUAAAAAUUCCACUUAGGCCCGAAAAGCCUAAUUGGAGCCCACUAAGGGUCGGGAAAAAUCCCGAGGUACUUCCAAUAAUUAGUAUACCACGUCUACUUGAUAAUUGCGCAAUCAAUUUAUCUAAAUCGCAUCACAAUUGACUAAUAAUUGCUAAUUUAUUAUAAUCUAACAACCUAAAUAUAAUUAAUUAAAUCUAAACCAACCUUAAGCAUAAUUAGCCAACUAAUUAGUGAGAUUAAUCACCAAAUCGCGCGCAAAUCAGAUCAAUCCGACGAGGGCGACACGAGGAACGAUUCUUCCCAAAGCACGGCUCGGGUUCGGAAACGGCCCAAAAGCGGGCCCGAACCAGCUAGAAACCCAUUUCGUGGGUUGCUGGACGGGGCUGGCCGGGGCUGCUCCGGUGGCCAAAACGGCGAGGGGAGGCCGGCGGAAGACGAGGGGGACGCCGGGGGGUGGCGCGGUGGCCGGAGGCGGCUGGUCGAGGCGAAACCGAGCUGAACAGAGGCCGAACGGCCUGUCUCGCACGGGGAAGGGGCGCCUGGGCGGAGGAGAGGGCAGGCGGUGCACGGCGGCGAGCGGCGGACGCGGGGCGGCGGUGCGGGCGGCGACGGCUCCGGCAAGCUGCAACCGUGCGGCUUCUUCUUCCUCGUCUCUGGUUUUCACGGGCGAGAAACGAGGGGAAGGGGGGCUUUCGGUCACGUGGGGGGAAAAGUGGGAGAGAAGAGAGGAGAGAGAAGAAGAGAUAAGAGAGAGAAGAGAUAGGGUUGAAUGGUCAAAGGGAGAGGGAGAAGCCAAAUUGAAAUUGGCCAAGGGGUGUUCGGUGGGGGAGGG